Molecule: transfer RNA, 71 nt
Filed under: Cordylochernes scorpioides
Lineage: Eukaryota; Metazoa; Arthropoda; Arachnida; Pseudoscorpiones; Chernetidae
Description: tRNA-Gly
Source: RNAcentral
UGCAUCGGCCGGGAAUCAAACCCGGGCCACCCGCGUGGCAGGCGAGCAUUCUACCACUGAACCACCGAUGC